UGGGGAAUUUUGGACAAUGGGCGAAAGCCUGAUCCAGCAAUGCCGCGUGUGUGAAGAAGGCCUUCGGGUUGUAAAGCACUUUUGUCCGGAAAGAAAUCCUUGGCUCUAAUACAGUCGGGGGAUGACGGUACCGGAAGAAUAAGCACCGGCUAACUACGUGCCAGCAGCCGCGGUAAUACGUAGGGUGCAAGCGUUAAUCGGAAUUACUGGGCGUAAAGCGUGCGCAGGCGGUUUGCUAAGACCGAUGUGAAAUCCCCGGGCUCAACCUGGGAACUGCAUUGGUGACUGGCAGGCUAGAGUAUGGCAGAGGGGGGUAGAAUUCCACGUGUAGCAGUGAAAUGCGUAGAGAUGUGGAGGAAUACCGAUGGCGAAGGCAGCCCCCUGGGCCAAUACUGACGCUCAUGCACGAAAGCGUGGGGAGCAAACAGGAUUAGAUACCCUGGUAGUCCACGCCCUAAACGAUGUCAACUAGUUGUUGGGGAUUCAUUUCCUUAGUAACGUAGCUAACGCGUGAAGUUGACCGCCUGGGGAGUACGGUCGCAAGAUUAAAACUCGAAUGAAUUGACGGGGUCAUAGCUGUUCCU
RNAcentral lists this ribosomal RNA (584 nucleotides) under uncultured bacterium. RNAcentral describes it as "partial 16S ribosomal RNA". It matches the Rfam family "Bacterial small subunit ribosomal RNA", at positions 355 to 937 of the family's 1533-position model. The record is from RNAcentral.